UUUCCAAACCAUGUAUUUUUCAUACGCAGGAGGCGUGGCUUGCCGGAAUACGGGUGGGGAAAGAAAUAACGCGGGAUCAGGUUGAAACUAACGCUUGUGAGUUCAGCAGAUCUCUCUGGACCGUGUGGUCAGCACUGCUCCUCUGUCUAUGCAGAGCUCUGACACAGGAGCUUCUAUCCCAGGACUUUCACUCCCACCGACGUCCCCUUGUACUUCUAUGUUAGCAGGACAGAAUGGGAUGUACUGCUAGCACUCACACAACAGCUCAAGACACAACUCGACCAAACUCAAAACCAGAGGAAUGCAAUGGGGCGAGUACGACAGGAACAGCUACAGAAAAUGUAAAAAACGAGGCAGCAAAUGAGUCUGCCCCAGAAGCGGCCGAUGAGAAAUCGGAGGAGCCGCAGAGCUCUGAAGCUGCUGCAGCUGAAAAGCAGCCUGAGUCUGAUGCUCCUCCAGCCGACUCCACCACACCAGAGGCUGCGCCAGAGCCGGCACCUGUGACUCAAGAUGAAGCUUCAACUUCAGCUUCAGCAGAAAACCAGGCAGAGUCAACCCCAGCACCCAGUGAAGGAAGUUAA
This is a long non-coding RNA of Pygocentrus nattereri (red-bellied piranha), 581 nucleotides long. The record is from Ensembl. NCBI's taxonomy places the organism in Eukaryota, Metazoa, Chordata, Actinopteri, Characiformes, Serrasalmidae.